GAGACAGCAGUCGCCACGGGAAUACAGAGGGUGCGAGCGUUAAUCGGAUUUACUGGGCGUAAAGCGUGCGUAGGCGGCUAAUUGAGUCGGAUGUGAAAUCCCCGAGCUUAACUUGGGAAUUGCAUUCGAUACUGGUUAGCUAGAGUGUGGGAGAGGAUGGUAGAAUUCCAGGUGUAGCGGUGAAAUGCGUAGAGAUCUGGAGGAAUACCGAUGGCGAAGGCAGCCAUCUGGCCUAACACUGACGCUGAGGUACGAAAGCAUGGGGAGCAAACAGGAUUAGAUACCCCUGUAGUCCCUGUCUCUUAUAC
Molecule: ribosomal RNA, 308 nt
Filed under: uncultured bacterium
Lineage: Bacteria
Description: partial 16S ribosomal RNA
Rfam family: Bacterial small subunit ribosomal RNA
Source: RNAcentral